AUUGAACGCUGGCGGCAUGCCUUACACAUGCAAGUCGAACGGCAGCACGGGGGCAACCCUGGUGGCGAGUGGCGAACGGGUGAGUAACAUAUCGGAACAUACCCUAGAGUGGGGGAUAACGUAGCGAAAGUUACGCUAAUACCGCAUACGAUCUAAGGAUGAAAGUGGGGGAUCUUCGGACCUCAUGCUCAUGGAGUGGCCGAUAUCUGAUUAGCUAGUUGGUGAGGUAAAGGCUCACCAAGGCGACGAUCAGUAGCUGGUUUGAGAGAACGACCAGCCACACUGGAACUGAGACACGGUCCAGACUCCUACGGGAGGCAGCAGUGGGGAAUUUUGGGCAAUGGGGGCAACCCUGAUCCAGCAAUGCCGCGUGAGUGAAGAAGGCCUUC
Molecule: ribosomal RNA, 389 nt
Filed under: uncultured bacterium
Lineage: Bacteria
Description: bacterial SSU rRNA
Rfam family: Bacterial small subunit ribosomal RNA
Source: RNAcentral